RNAcentral lists this ribosomal RNA (407 nucleotides) under uncultured bacterium. RNAcentral describes it as "partial 16S ribosomal RNA". It matches the Rfam family "Bacterial small subunit ribosomal RNA", at positions 30 to 526 of the family's 1533-position model. The record is from RNAcentral.
AUUGAACGCUGGCGGCAGGCCUAACACAUGCAAGUCGAGCGGAGCGGCGGACGGGUGAGUAAUGCCUAGGAAUCUGCCUGGUAGUGGGGAAUACGGUCGGGAAAGGGGCCCUAAUACCGCAUCCUUUCAGUGGAGCCUGGGUGGGUUUAGCUGGUGGGUGGGGUAAAGGCCUACCAAGGCGACGAUCCGUAACUGGUCUGAGAGGAUGAUCAGUCACACUGGAACUGGGACACGGUCCAGACUCCUACGGGAGGCAGCAGUGGGGAAUAUUGGACAAUGGGCGAAAGCCUGAUCCAGCCAUGCCGCGUGUGUGAAGAAGGUCUUCGGAUUGUAAAGCACUUUAAGUUGGGAGGCGUUACCAACAGAAUAAGCACCGGCUAACUUCGUGCCAGCAGCCGCGGUAAUAC